Molecule: ribosomal RNA, 1317 nt
Filed under: uncultured Alphaproteobacteria bacterium
Lineage: Bacteria; Pseudomonadati; Pseudomonadota; Alphaproteobacteria
Description: bacterial SSU rRNA
Rfam family: Bacterial small subunit ribosomal RNA
Source: RNAcentral
ACGUACGCUGGCGGCACGCCUAACACAUGCAAGUCGAACGAAGUAGCAAUACUUAGUGGCAGACGGGUGAGUAACAUGUAGGUAUCUGCCCUUUGGCCUGGAAUAACACGAGGAAACUUGUGCUAAUACCGGAUAAGUCUUUACAGAGAAAGCUUUAUGCACCAUUGGAUGAGCCUGCACUUGAUUAGUUUGUUGGUGGGGUAAUGGCCUACCAAGACUGUGAUCAAUAGCUGAUUUGAGAGGAUGAUCAGCCACAUUGGGACUGAGACACGGCCCAAACUCCUACGGGAGGCAGCAGUGGGGAAUCUUGCACAAUGGAGGAAACUCUGAUGCAGCGAUGCCGCGUGAGUGAAGAAGGCCUUUGGGUUGUAAAGCUCUUUCGUCGGGGAAGAAAAUGACUGUACCCGAAUAAGAAGGUCCGGCUAACUUCGUGCCAGCAGCCGCGGUAAUACGAAGGGACCUAGCGUAGUUCGGAAUUACUGGGCUUAAAGAGUUCGUAGGUGGUUGAAAAAGUUAGUGGUGAAAUCCCAGAGCUUAACUCUGGAACUGCCAUUAAAACUUUUCAGCUAGAGUAUGAUAGAGGAAAGCAGAAUUUCUAGUGUAGAGGUGAAAUUCGUAGAUAUUAGAAAGAAUACCAAUUGCGAAGGCAGCUUUCUGGAUCAUUACUGACACUGAGGAACGAAAGCAUGGGUAGCGAAGAGGAUUAGAUACCCUCGUAGUCCAUGCCGUAAACGAUGUGUGUUAGACGUUGGAAAUUUAUUUUCAGUGUCGCAGGGAAACCGAUAAACACACCGCCUGGGGAGUACGACCGCAAGGUUAAAACUCAAAUGAAUUGACGGGGACCCGCACAAGUAGUGGAGCAUGUGGUUUAAUUCGAAGAUACGCGCAGAACCUUACCAACACUUGACAUGUUCGUCGCGACUCUAAGAGAUUAGAGUUUUCGGUUCGGCCGGACGAAACACAGGUGCUGCAUGGCUGUCGUCAGCUCGUGUCGUGAGAUGUUGGGUUAAGUCCCGCAACGAGCGCAACCCUCACUUUUAGUUGCCAUCAUUAAGUUGGGCACUCUGAAAGAACUGCCAGUGAUAAGCUGGAGGAAGGUGGGGAUGACGUCAAGUCCUCAUGGCCCUUACGUGUUGGGCUACACACGUGCUACAAUGGUAUCUACAACAGGAAGCAAGACUGCGAAGUUAAGCAAAUCCCUAAAAGAUACCUCAGUUCGGAUUGCACUCUGCAACUCGAGUGCAUGAAGCUGGAAUUACUAGUAAUCGUGGAUCAGCGUGCCACGGUGAAUGCGUUCCCGGGUCUUGUACUCACCGC